AGGCUUCCUCCCGCUCUAACUGUGGAAGGGACAAGCUUUCCUGGAGCAAACUGUCCAGCACGGGUGUCUGGGCAGGAGGGGAGCACUCUGGGGACAAGGCAGGUCCUGCUGCUGCCACUCCGCAUCUGUCUCAGCACAGCUCCGGUCACAGCUCUGUGCACAGUCAGGGGGAGAGCAUCUAAGGUCAGAGCCUGAAGGCACUGCUUCAACUUUCACAUAAUUACAGCAUCCCAAGGGUGUUUAAAGGGCUGGCUGGUGUUAAAUUAAGUGUUUUAGGGACUGCGUGAGAAUGUUAGAAAUGCCCUUCCCAGUCGUGUGUCUCCACCGAAGUAAUAUUUCAGCCUGUCUGCUCUUAAGAGCCCACGAAAUCCUCUUCUGUAGCCUCUGAUCAGACACGUUUGUGCCUCCUGCUUGAAUGGUGAUGCCAAAUGCCCUGCUGGCUUCCUCCUCCCAGGGGAACAGUCUUAGGAAAGAUUUUUAAAGGAAGGACUGAACUCAAUGGCCCUAAGCAGUCUCCGUGCUGUUUCAUGUGACGUGACUCAGUACCAUACUUGGUCACUAAACGAGUCUUGGUGCUCCUAAUUAAAACCAGCUUUUGCCCAAACUAUUCCUGUGCGAGGGCUGUCUCAGUCACUAAAGUGUCUCGGUCAUUAAUAGUGGUGCUGCAAAUCUGUUUGGGGGGGAGCUGUAAUCUCCUGAAGGGAUCCUUGGUUUUUGCAAUCAGAAUGCAAAGGUGUUCCUUUUACAACAUCCUUCUAAAGUCUGCCCGUCAAACCACUGAAAACUCAUGACUUUGUCUGGAGUCACGAGGAGCCUCCCAGCAAUCAGCAGCUUAAAGGUGCGAGGCUGGUGUUUGCAGUGCAGAGAGGUUAGGCUGGAUUUCCAGCAAGCCAAAGGAGUUGGGUAAUGAGCAGCAUCAUGUGUUCAGUGCUUUAAAAAUGCAGUGGCACUUGGGGUGGAAACGGGAAAAAGUCAGGCUGGUGUUUCACAAGUAGCACACUUUUGCCCCUGUGCACAAGGCAGGAUGACUCAGCUGCUCACUGAUAGCAGUAGUUUGUUGAAAUAAAUACUGACCUUCAAACAACUGCUAUCACUAAUGUAAAUAAUAGCCUAAAUACGAUAAACCUAACCCUUGCAUGUUUUUUUUUUUCUCCACUAUUCUGGAGGUUUUUUCACUUGGAUCUCUCCCAGGAAACCUCUGCAUCCCUUUUCAUCCUUAAUGGAGCUUCAGGAGAGCUUUGCUCUGUGGGUUCAGCCUGACAAAAGUGGCAGUGUCAGGAAUUAGAAGACGGAAAAGUGAUUCAGAGUAAAAAUGAGAUGACCUUGCAAAAACCUUGAUUGAAGUACUUCUGAAGAGUUUAUAAGAAAUAUUCCCACUUGCCACCUGUGUGCACAAAAAUUUGGAUUUGGACGCCUAAAUAUGCCAGUAUUUGGACACCUGAAUAUGCCACAACUAUAGAGCUUGGUGACUGUGGGGAAGGAGUGUGCUCCCUCCCCAGUUAGUUCUUAGAAAGCCUCCUGGGCCCAGCUGUGUCCCUGUGGGAGCAUGAUGCUGUGUGCAUGAGCACAUGGCUCCCCUGGGACUAGACAGGCACCAGAGGCAGCAGAAGAAAAGCAGAACCACCCUGUCAAGAUAUUUUAGUAAAUUUGAAAUAGCCCAGUGGUUUCAUACCGGACGAGCACGCUGUGUGGUGUAGUGAGCCAGCACUUGCAAUCCUGGAGCACCUUCUCUGCCUUCACUAUGCAGCCUCUGACUUCCCUGCCUCUAUUCACCCACUUUUAAAGCAAUGUGAAUACCCUCAUAGCACAGAUCAGUUAAAAACAAUGAAGAGUGGCUGGCCAGAGCCCUCAUUUAGCCUGGUUUUCUGAAAACUGCAGAUUUUUCCUUUCCACGUAAUAAGGUUAGAUGCAAGAAUUUUUUUCCCACUGCUCUAAGAAGUCACUUCUUCCUACCUUAAAUAUUGAACUACUUAUUAAAACAGAAGAAAAAAAAAAAAGGCCAUGAGCUGCUGGCUAUUGGGUCCUUCCGUGUAACUCUAAAGUGACGGAAGGAGGAAGCGACUCAGAGCUGGAGCCGUGCCGGGCGAUCCUGCGCUGCUGCUGGUGUAACUUCAUCCAUUUAUCUCUUCACUUCACCCACUUUUGGGGUAUCUGCCUCCCAGAGCAGAGGUGCUGCCUCAGAGGUCCUCUCUGAAGGGCUCCAGAACUGCUGCAUCCACAGCACAGUGCUGGGAUUUCACGCUGCUGGCUGGGUCCCACAUAUUAAAGCCCACGGACAGCCUGUCACAUCAUUCCUGGGGACUCCAUUUCAGAUCCAGGAGUACCUGAUGUCUUAGAUGGGCAAAUGGGCGUUGUGCACACGCUGGUAAACACCGUCCUGCUCCGCACGCCGAUCCCAGCUCAGAUAAACACUUGUGUCCAGUUACUGCCUUCACAACUUCCAGGUGAAAGCGACUCAUCCCAUGCUGUACACUUGGAUAUUUCUAUCUGCUGAGCAUGCUGAGAUUUGUAAUACUCUGCUCUUCCCAGAUUUAUGGAUAGAAUUAAAAGAAGGUGGGAAUAUACCCCCAGCCGUGCUCUUCUGAGGGCUGUGCAGCUCCUGUGCUGCCAGAGAAGUAUCCCUGACUUCUCAUACAACUGCAUCUUAUACCUACAUUUGAAGGAGGAUUUGGUGUCCUGGUUGUGACGAGAAUUGCAAA
Long non-coding RNA from Pseudopipra pipra, 2699 nucleotides. RefSeq lists it as uncharacterized. The record is from RefSeq and is a predicted model, not a curated record. NCBI's taxonomy places the organism in Eukaryota, Metazoa, Chordata, Aves, Passeriformes, Pipridae. The transcript has 3 exons.